UACGUAGGGUGCGAGCGUUAAUCGGAAUUACUGGGCGUAAAGCGCACGUAGGUGGCUGUGUAAGUCGGGUGUGAAAUCCCCGGGCUCAACCUGGGAACUGCAUUCGAGACUGCAUGGCUGGAGUACGGAAGAGGAAGGCGGAAUUCCCGGUGUAGCGGUGAAAUGCGUAGAUAUCGGGAGGAACAUCAGUGGCGAAGGCGGCCUUCUGGUCCAGUACUGACACUCAAGUGCGAAAGCGUGGGGAGCAAACAGG
RNAcentral lists this ribosomal RNA (253 nucleotides) under uncultured Sinobacteraceae bacterium. RNAcentral describes it as "partial 16S ribosomal RNA". It matches the Rfam family "Bacterial small subunit ribosomal RNA", at positions 524 to 776 of the family's 1533-position model. The record is from RNAcentral. Lineage: Bacteria; Pseudomonadati; Pseudomonadota; Gammaproteobacteria; Nevskiales; Nevskiaceae.